GAUGAACGCUGGCGGCGUGCCUAAUACGUGCAAGUCGAGCGAACAGACGAGGAGCUUGCUUCUCUGACGUUAGCGGCGGACGGGUGAGUAACACGUGGAUAACCUACCUAUAAGACUGGGAUAACUUCGGGAAACCGGAGCUAAUACCGGAUAAUAUAUUGUACCGCAUGGUUCAAUAGUGAAAGACGGUUUUGCUGUCACUUAUAGAUGGAUCCGCGCCGCAUUAGCUAGUUGGUAAGGUAACGGCUUACCAAGGCAACGAUGCGUAGCCGACCUGAGAGGGUGAUCGGCCACACUGGAACUGAGACACGGUCCAGACUCCUACGGGAGGCAGCAGUAGGGAAUCUUCCGCAAAGGGCGAAAGCCUGACGGAGCAACGCCGCGUGAGUGAUGAAGGUCUUCGGAUCGUAAAACUCUGUUAUUAGGGAAGAACAAAUGUGUAAGUAACUAUGCACGUCUUGACGGUACCUAAUCAGAAAGCCACGGCUAACUACGUG
This 497-nucleotide ribosomal RNA is filed under the name uncultured bacterium. Its description in RNAcentral is "partial 16S ribosomal RNA". It matches the Rfam family "Bacterial small subunit ribosomal RNA", at positions 28 to 507 of the family's 1533-position model. The record is from RNAcentral.